This 627-nucleotide long non-coding RNA is filed under the name Daphnia pulicaria. Its description in RNAcentral is "uncharacterized LOC124328266, transcript variant X2". The record is from RNAcentral. Lineage: Eukaryota; Metazoa; Arthropoda; Branchiopoda; Diplostraca; Daphniidae.
CCGCGAUUUAGGCCCUCUGUUCGUUUUGCCCAGCUAGAUGUAUGGCAUGUGUGGCCAUCUAUUAAACUCUUUGUUUUGUUAAUUAAUUCCUGUGGCGCCACUUGUUUUAAGAAACUGUUUAGUCUCGUUUCCCCUUCCCCCCUGUCAAUCAAGUAAUCUUCUUUUACGAUAUUGUGACUGUCACUCUUUCUAUACUGAUUUAACUUCUGGAUUGACAGAGAAGUAACUUCUCCAGUAUUUGCAUUUGACUGACCUAGACGUGUUGGGUGGCAUUCACCGACAUCGUCACACUCUCAUCUUCCUGACACAGUGGCAAAGGCCACUUAAGCCGUCAGGUUUUAUUGCAUGAUUGUAUUAGAGUGGGUGUGUCCGACCAGGGCCCCAUUAGUGUGAUUCAUAUUCCAUCGAAGACUGGGUUUUCCCACCCAGGUAUUAUUAGUUUGCCCUUAUUCUGUCUGUUCACUCGUUACUUAUUGAUGUUUUAUCUUUUACCAGGAUUGAUGUGAUUUCUGAUGUGAUUUCUUGCAUGAUCUCGAUGUGAUUUCUUGCAUGAUCUCGAUGUGAUUUAUUUGCAUGUUUUGAUCUGCAUUAUUUCUGAUUGACUCAAUUAUACAGUCCACUUACAAA